Molecule: ribosomal RNA, 308 nt
Filed under: Acinetobacter calcoaceticus
Lineage: Bacteria; Pseudomonadati; Pseudomonadota; Gammaproteobacteria; Moraxellales; Moraxellaceae
Description: bacterial SSU rRNA
Rfam family: Bacterial small subunit ribosomal RNA
Source: RNAcentral
UUUGGUGGAGCAUGUGGUUUAAUUCGAUGCAACGCGAAGAACCUUACCUGGCCUUGACAUACUAAGAACUUUCCAGAGAUGGAUUGGUGCCUUCGGGAACUUAGAUACAGGUGCUGCAUGGCUGUCGUCAGCUCGUGUCGUGAGAUGUUGGGUUAAGUCCCGCAACGAGCGCAACCCUUUUCCUUAUUUGCCAGCGAGUAAUGUCGGGAACUUUAAGGAUACUGCCAGUGACAAACUGGAGGAAGGCGGGGACGACGUCAAGUCAUCAUGGCCCUUACGGCCAGGGCUACACACGUGCUACAAUGGAA